UUAAGCGACUAAGCGUACACGGUGGAUGCCCUGGCAGUCAGAGGCGAUGAAGGACGUGCUAAUCUGCGAAAAGCGUCGGUAAGGUGAUAUGAACCGUUAUAACCGGCGAUGUCCGAAUGGGGAAACCCAGUGCAAUUCGUUGCACUAUCGUUAACUGAAUACAUAGGUUAACGAGGCGAACCGGGGGAACUGAAACAUCUAAGUACCCCGAGGAAAAGAAAUCAACCGAGAUUCCCCCAGUAGCGGCGAGCGAACGGGGAGCAGCCCAGAGUCUGAAUCAGCUUGUGUGUUAGUGGAACGGUCUGGAAAGUCCGACGGUACAGGGUGAUAGUCCCGUACACCAAAAUGCACAGGNUGUGAACUCGAAGAGUAGGGCGGGACACGUGGUAUCCUGUCUGAAUAUGGGGGGACCAUCCUCCAAGGCUAAAUACUCCUGACUGACCGAUAGUGAACCAGUACCGUGAGGGAAAGGCGAAAAGAACCCCGGCGAGGGGAGUGAAAAAGAACCUGAAACCGUGUACGUACAAGCAGUGGGAGCACCUUCGGGUGUGACUGCGUACCUUUUGUAUAAUGGGUCAGCGACUUAUAUUCUGUAGCAAGGUUAACCGUAUAGGGGAGCCGCAGGGAAACCGAGUCUUAACUGGGCGUUAAGUUGCAGGGUAUAGACCCGAAACCCGGUGAUCUAGCCAUGGGCAGGUUGAAGGUUGGGUAACACUAACUGGAGGACCGAACCGACUAAUGUUGAAAAAUUAGCGGAUGACUUGUGGCUGGGGGUGAAAGGCCAAUCAAACCGGGAGAUAGCUGGUUCUCCCCGAAAGCUAUUUAGGUAGCGCCUCGUGAANUCAUCUUCGGGGGUAGAGCACUGUUUCGGCUAGGGGGUCAUCCCGACUUACCAACCCGAUGCAAACUACGAAUACCGAAGAAUGUUAUCACGGGAGACACACGGCGGGUGCUAACGUCCGUCGUGAAGAGGGAAACAACCCAGACCGCCAGCUAAGGUCCCAAAGUCAUGGUUAAGUGGGAAACGAUGUGGGAAGGCACAGACAGCCAGGAUGUUGGCUUAGAAGCAGCCAUCAUUUAAAGAAAGCGUAAUAGCUCACUGGUCGAGUCGGCCUGCGCGGAAGAUGUAACGGGGCUAAACCAUGCACCGAAGCUGCGGCAGCGACACUAUGUGUUGUUGGGUAGGGGAGCGUUCUGUAAGCCUGCGAAGGUGUGCUGUGAGGCAUGCUGGAGGUAUCAGAAGUGCGAAUGCUGACAUAAGUAACGAUAAAGCGGGUGAAAAGCCCGCUCGCCGGAAGACCAAGGGUUCCUGUCCAACGUUAAUCGGGGCAGGGUGAGUCGACCCCUAAGGCGAGGCCGAAAGGCGUAGUCGAUGGGAAACAGGUUAAUAUUCCUGUACUUGGUGUUACUGCGAAGGGGGGACGGAGAAGGCUAUGUUAGCCGGGCGACGGUUGUCCCGGUUUAAGCAUGUAGGCUGGUUGUCCAGGCAAAUCCGGAUAAUCAAGGCUGAGGUGUGAUGACGAGGCACUACGGUGCUGAAGUAACAAAUGCCCUGCUUCCAGGAAAAGCCUCUAAGCAUCAGGUAACAUUAAAUCGUACCCCAAACCGACACAGGUGGUCAGGUAGAGAAUACCAAGGCGCUUGAGAGAACUCGGGUGAAGGAACUAGGCAAAAUGGUGCCGUAACUUCGGGAGAAGGCACGCUGGUGUGUAGGUGAAGCCCCUGCGGGUGGAGCUGAGACCAGUCGAAGAUACCAGCUGGCUGCAACUGUUUAUUAAAAACACAGCACUGUGCAAACACGAAAGUGGACGUAUACGGUGUGACGCCUGCCCGGUGCCGGAAGGUUAAUUGAUGGGGUUAUCCGUAAGGAGAAGCUCUUGAUCGAAGCCCCGGUAAACGGCGGCCGUAACUAUAACGGUCCUAAGGUAGCGAAAUUCCUUGUCGGGUAAGUUCCGACCUGCACGAAUGGCGUAAUGAUGGCCAGGCUGUCUCCACCCGAGACUCAGUGAAAUUGAACUCGCUGUGAAGAUGCAGUGUACCCGCGGCAAGACGGAAAGACCCCGUGAACCUUUACUAUAGCUUGACACUGAACAUUGAGCCUUGAUGUGUAGGAUAGGUGGGAGGCUUUGAAGCGUGGACGCCAGUCUGCGUGGAGCCAACCUUGAAAUACCACCCUUUAAUGUUUGAUGUUCUAACGUUGGCCCCUNACCGGGGUUGCGGACAGUGUCUGGUGGGUAGUUUGACUGGGGCGGUCUCCUCCCAAAGCGUAACGGAGGAGCACGAAGGUUAGCUAAUCCUGGUCGGACAUCAGGAGGUUAGUGCAAUGGCAUAAGCUAGCUUGACUGCGAGCGUGACGGCGCGAGCAGGUGCGAAAGCAGGUCAUAGUGAUCCGGUGGUUCUGAAUGGAAGGGCCAUCGCUCAACGGAUAAAAGGUACUCCGGGGAUAACAGGCUGAUACCGCCCAAGAGUUCAUAUCGACGGCGGUGUUUGGCACCUCGAUGUCGGCUCAUCACAUCCUGGGGCUGAAGUAGGUCCCAAGGGUAUGGCUGUUCGCCAUUUAAAGUGGUACGCGAGCUGGGUUUAGAACGUCGUGAGACAGUUCGGUCCCUAUCUGCCGUGGGCGCUGGAGAAUUGAGGGGGGCUGCUCCUAGUACGAGAGGACCGGAGUGGACGCAUCACUGGUGUUCGGGUUGUCAUGCCAAUGGCACUGCCCGGUAGCUAAAUGCGGAAGAGAUAAGUGCUGAAAGCAUCUAAGCACGAAACUUGCCCCGAGAUGAGUUCUCCCUGAGACUUUAAGUCUCCUGAAGGAACGUUGAAGACGACGACGUUGAUAGGCCGGGUGUGUAAGCGCAGCGAUGCGUUGAGCUAACCGGUACUAAUGAACCGUGAGGCUUAACCUU
RNAcentral lists this ribosomal RNA (2900 nucleotides) under Klebsiella pneumoniae. RNAcentral describes it as "23S ribosomal RNA". It matches the Rfam family "Bacterial large subunit ribosomal RNA". Lineage: Bacteria; Pseudomonadati; Pseudomonadota; Gammaproteobacteria; Enterobacterales; Enterobacteriaceae. The record is from RNAcentral.